This 250-nucleotide ribosomal RNA is filed under the name uncultured bacterium. RNAcentral's name for it is "partial 16S ribosomal RNA". It matches the Rfam family "Bacterial small subunit ribosomal RNA", at positions 524 to 773 of the family's 1533-position model. The record is from RNAcentral.
UACGAAGGGUGCAAGCGUUAACCGGAAUUACUGGGCGUAAAGCGUGCGUAGGCGGUUUCUUAAGUCUGCUGUGAAAGCCCCGGGCUCAACCUGGGAGGUGCGAUGGAAACUGGCAGGCUCGAGUGUGGUAGAGGGUAGUGGAAUUUCCGGUGUAGCAGUGAAAUGCGUAGAGAUCGGAAGGAACACCAGUGGCGAAGGCGGCUACCUGGACCAACACUGACGCUGAGGUGCGAAAGCGUGGGGAGCAAAC